RNAcentral lists this ribosomal RNA (497 nucleotides) under uncultured bacterium. Its description in RNAcentral is "partial 16S ribosomal RNA". It matches the Rfam family "Bacterial small subunit ribosomal RNA", at positions 28 to 507 of the family's 1533-position model. The record is from RNAcentral.
GACGAACGCUGGCGGCGUGCCUAAUACAUGCAAGUUGAGCGCUGAAGGUUGGUACUUGUACCGACUGGAUGAGCAGCGAACGGGUGAGUAACGCGUGGGGAAUCUGCCUUUGAGCGGGGGACAACAUUUGGAAACGAAUGCUAAUACCGCAUAAAAACUUUAAACACAAAUUUUAAGUUUGAAAGAUGCAAUUGCAUCACUCAAAGAUGAUCCCGCGUUGUAUUAGCUAGUUGGUGAGGUAAAGGCUCACCAAGGCGAUGAUACAUAGCCGACCUGAGAGGGUGAUCGGCCACAUUGGGACUGGGACACGCCCCAAACUCCUACGGGAGGCAGCAGUAGGGAAUCUUCGGCAAUGGACGAAAGGCUGACCGAGCAACGCCGCGUGAGUGAAGAAGGUUUUCGGAUCGUAAAACUCUGUUGGUAGAGAAGAACGUUGGUGAGAGUGGAAAGCUCAUAAAGUGACGGUAACUACCCAGAAAGGGACGGCUAACUACGUG